RNAcentral lists this ribosomal RNA (260 nucleotides) under uncultured bacterium. RNAcentral's name for it is "partial 16S ribosomal RNA". It matches the Rfam family "Bacterial small subunit ribosomal RNA", at positions 526 to 779 of the family's 1533-position model. The record is from RNAcentral.
CGUAAGGGGCGAGCGUUGUCCGGAAUUAUUGGGGCGUAAAAGAGUGCGUAGGCGGCAAAUUAAGUCAGAUGUGAAAACUAAGGGCUCAACCCAUAGAUUGCAUCUGAAAACUGAUAUGCUUGAGUCAAGGAGAGGAAAAGUGGAAUUCCUAGUGUAGCGGUGGAAUGCGUAGAUAUUAGGAGGAAUACCGGUGGCGAAGGCGACUUUUCUGGACUUGAACUGACGCUGAGGCACGAAAGCGUGGGGGAGCAAACAGGAUU